Molecule: long non-coding RNA, 982 nt
Organism: Balaenoptera musculus (blue whale)
Lineage: Eukaryota; Metazoa; Chordata; Mammalia; Artiodactyla; Balaenopteridae
Exons: 5
Source: RefSeq, a predicted model, not a curated record
UUCCGGCGGGCGGGACGCGGAAGUGGAGGCCUGUGGCCUGAGGGGCGUUGACCGGCCGCCGGGCCGGAGCGCGCUGGGCCUAGGGCCCGGGACCUGAGGUACCUUCGCGGAGCGCGAGGAGCGCGGGGCGGCGGAGGCUUCCGAGGAAAGGCCACGCGCGACGGCGGACCCGCGCCUCCCGCCCCGAGGCCGGCAUCCCUGGCCGGACCCGAGGGGCCUGGCGCUUGGGUAGGGCCGUCCGCGGGCUGCUCGCGGGCCGCUUGCAGUUACCUCCGGGAUCCUUUUGGGCCACCGAGGCGCCGGGAGGAAAGGGUUCUGGGGACGGUGCCCUCAGCUUCCAGCCCCAUCAGUUACAGCUUUACCAUAUUCGCUGUCAGAUGCGGGGAGCGAUGCACUCGGGCUCCUGGCCCCUGAGCCACGCCGAGGAGUCGUCAGGAGCAUCUCGGGACGAGGAAGCCUCCAGCAUCAGCAUCGGGUGCAAGGACAACAGCCUUACAGAUUCUGCUUAACCUGCUCCUGCGAUUGCCUAAGGUCCAGACUCUGUAACAGAACACACCCAUCUAGGGAUUCUGCUUCUCUGAUGGAACCUUAGCUGAUACGCAGAAGUGGACAGCCCAGUGUUGGAAUGGAGGACGCACCUUGUCUUUCAGUUCAGCCAUCCUUGCCACAAGCGCUUCCAUCCUCAGGAUCACAAGAGAAAUGCAUUAUAAGUAGCCAUGGAAACACCACAUUAGUAGGACUAUCCUGCAAAGAGGAGAACAUUACACAUUUUUGCGUUAUCAACUCUCAGAAGCCUGCUAUGCCCAGUGUUUUAACUUCAUCAUUUAUCUGGAAAAUGUUCUGAAGAUGGACACUUGGGCUUCUACCACCUUUUGGGUAUUGUGAAUAAUACUGCUACGAACAUGGGUGUACAAACCUCUCUCCAAGUCCCUGUUUUCAGUUCUUCUGGGCACAGAUAUAUACCUAAAAGUGGAGUUCCUGG